GACAGCAGUAGACAGGUUGGGUUGGGAGGUGACAGCAGUAGACAGGUUGGGUUAGGAGGUGACAGCAGUAGACAGGUUGGGUUGGGAGGUGACAGCAGUAGACAGGUUGGGUUAGGAGGUGACAGCAGUAGACAGGUUGGGUUAGGAGGUGACAGCAGUAGACAGGUUGGGUUGGGAGAUGACAGUAGUAUACAUGUUGGGUUUUGAGGUGACAGCAGUAGCCAGGUUGGGUUAGGAGGUGACAGCAGUAGACAGGUUGGAUUAGGAGGUGACAGCAGUAGACAGCUUGGGGUAGGAGGUGACAGCAGUAGACAGGUUGGGUUAGGAGGUGACAGCAGUAGACAGGUUGGGUUGGGAGGUGACAGCAGUAGACAGGUUGGGUUAUGAGGUGACAGCAGUAGACAGGUUGGGUUAGGAGCUGACAGCAAUAGACAGGUUGGGUUAGGAGUUGACAGCACUAGACAGGUUGGGUUAGGAGGUGACAGCAGUAGACAGGUUGGGUUAGGAGGUGACAGCAGUAGACAGGUUGGGUUAGGAGGUGACAGCAGUAGACAGGUUGGGUUGGGAGGUGACAGCAAUAGACAGGUUGGGUUAGGAGGUGACAGCAAUAGACAGGUUGGGUUAGGAGGUGACAGCACCAGACAGGUUGGGUUAGGAGGUGACAGCAGUAGACAGGUUGGAUUAGGAGGUGACAGUAGUAGACAGGUUGGGUUCAGAGAUGACAGCAAUAGACAGGUUGGGUUAGGAGGUGACAGCACUAGACAGGUUGGGUUAGGAGGUGACAGCAAUAGACAGGUUGGGUUAGGAGGUGACAGCAGUAGACAGGUUGGGUUAGGAGGUGACAGGUUAGUAGACAGGUUAGACAGGUAAGGCUGGGUUGGGAGGUGACAGCAGUAGACAGGUUAUGCUGGGUUGGGAGGUGACAACAGUAGACAGGUUAGGCUGGGUUGGUAGGUGACAGCAGUAGACAGGUUGGGCUGGGCUGGGAGGUGACAGCUGUAGACAGGUUAGGCUGGGCUGGGAGGUGACAGCAGUAGACAGGUUAGACAGGUUAGGCUGGGUUGGGAGGUGACAGCAGUAGACAGGCUAGAGAGUUUAAGCUGGGUUGGGAGGUGAUAGCAGUAGACAGGAUAGAGAGGUUAGGCUGGGUUGGGAAGUGACAGCAGUAGACAGGUUGGGUUGGGAGGUGACAGCAAUAGACAGGUUGGGUUAGGAGGUGACAGCAAUAGACAGGUUGGGUUAGGAGGUGACAGCAACAGACAGGUUGGGUUAGGAGGUGACAGCACCAGACAGGUUGGGUUAGGAGGUGACAGCAGUAGACAGGUUGGAUUAUGAGGUGACAGUAGUAGACAGGUUGGGUUCAGAGAUGACAGCAAUAGACAGGUUGGGUUAGGAGGUGACAGCACUAGACAGGUUGGGUUAGGAGGUGACAGCAAUAGACAGGUUGGGUUAGGAGGUGACAGCAGUAGACAGGUUGGGUUAGGAGGUGACAGGUUAGUAGACAGGUUAGACAGGUAAGGCUGGGUUGGGAGGUGACAGCAGUAGACAGGUUAGGCUGGGUUGGGAGGUGACAGCAGUAGACAGGUUAGGCUGGGUUGGGAGGUGACAGCAGUAGACAGGUUAGGCUGGGCUGGGAGGUGACAGCAGUAGACAGGUUAGGCUGGGUUGGGAGGUGACAGCAGUAGACUGGGUUAGACAGGUUAGGCUGGGUUGGGAGUGGACAGCAGUAAACUGGGUUAGACGGGUUAGGCUGGGUUGGGAGGUGACAGCAGUAAACUGGGUUAGACAGGUUAGGCUGGGUUGGGAGGUGACAGCAGUAAACUGGGUUAGACAGGUUAGGCUGGGCUGGGAGGUGACAGCUGUAGACUGGUUAGGCUGGGUUGGGAGGUGACAGCAGUAGACAGGUUAGAGAGGUUAGGCUGGGUUGGGAGGUGACAGCAGUAGACAGGUUAUGCUGGGUUGGGAGGUGACAGCAGUAGACAGGGUAGAGAGGUUAUGCUGGGUUGGGAGAUGACAGCAGUAGACAGGAUAGAGAGGUUAGGCUGGGUUGGGAGGUGACAACAGUAGACAGGUUAGGCUGGGUUGGGAGGUGACAGCAGUAGACAGGUUAGGCUGGGUUGGGAGGUGACAGCAGUAGACAGGUUAGACAGGUUAGGCUGGGUUGGGAGAUGACAGCAGUAGACAGGUUAGACAGGUUAGGCUGGGCUGGGAGGUGACAGCAGUAGACAGGUUAGGCUGGGUUGGGAGGUGACAGCAGUAGACAGGUUAGACAGGUUAGGCUGGGUUGGGAGGUGACAGCAGUAGACAGGUUAGGCUGGGUUGGGAGGUGACAACAGUAGACAGGUUAGGCUGGGUUGGGAGGUGACAGCAGUAGACAGGUUGACAGGUUAGGCUGGGUUGGGAGGUGACAGCAGUAGACAGGUUAGGCUGGGUUGGGAGGUGACAGCAGUAGACAGGUUAGGCUGGGUUGGGAGGUGACAACAGUAGACAGGUUAGGCUGGGUUGGGAGGUGACAGCAGUAGACAGGUUUGACAGGUUAGGCUGGGUUGGGAGGUGACAGCAGUAGACAGGUUAGACAGGUUAGGCUGGGUUGGGAGGUGACAGCAGUAGACAGGUUAGGCUGGGUUGGGAGGUGACAGCAGUAGACAGG
Molecule: non-coding RNA, 2650 nt
Organism: Salmo salar (Atlantic salmon)
Lineage: Eukaryota; Metazoa; Chordata; Actinopteri; Salmoniformes; Salmonidae
Source: RefSeq, a predicted model, not a curated record